Molecule: ribosomal RNA, 254 nt
Filed under: uncultured bacterium
Lineage: Bacteria
Description: partial 16S ribosomal RNA
Rfam family: Bacterial small subunit ribosomal RNA
Source: RNAcentral
UACGUAGGGGGCAAGCGUUGUCCGGAUUUAUUGGGCGUAAAGAGCUCGUAGGCGGUUUGGUAAGUCGGGUGUGAAAUCUCCGUGCUCAACACGGAGGGGCCACCCGAUACUGCCAUGACUUGAGUCCGGUAGAGGAGAGUGGAAUUCCCGGUGUAGCGGUGAAAUGCGCAGAUAUCGGGAGGAACACCAGUGGCGAAGGCGGCUCACUGGUCCGGUACUGACGCUGAGGUGCGAAAGCGUGGGGAGCAAACAGG